AUGAGGCCUGUUCUCAUGAAGGGGCACGAGCGCCCGCUCACGUUCCUCAAGUACAACCGGGACGGCGACCUGCUCUUCUCCUGCGCCAAGGACCACACGCCCACCGUGUGGUACGCCUCCAACGGCGACCGCCUCGGCACCUACCGCGGCCACAACGGCGCGGUGUGGUCCUGCGACGUCUCCCGCCACUCCACGCGCCUCAUCACGGGCAGCGCCGACCAGACCGCCAAGCUCUGGGACGUCCAGACGGGGAGGGAGCUCUUCACCUUCAGGUUCGACGCCCCCGCGCGCUCCGUCGACUUCGCCAUCGGCGACCACCUGGCCGUCAUCACCACCGACAGCUUAUGGGGAACAUGCCCACCGCGCAGGUCAAGCGCAUCGCCGAGGACUUGCAAGACCACGGAGGAGUCGGCGCUCGUGAUCUCCGGCAUCACGGGGAGGAUUAACAGGGCCGUGUGGGGACCCGGCAACCGGACCAUCAUCACGGCUGGCGAGGAUGCCACCAUCCGCAUCUGGGACUCUGAGACUGGAAAGCUGCUGAAGGAGUCAGACAAGGAGGCUGGGCAUCAGAAGGCAAUUAGCUCACUAUCAAAAUCCUUAGAUUGGUCUCAUUUCCUCACAGGUUCCUUGGAUAAAUCUGCUAAGCUAUGGGAUGCAAGAACACUGACCCUGAUGAAGACAUAUGUCACAGAGCGACCAGUUAAUGCUGUUGACAUGUCUCCUACUCUUGAUAAUGUGGUUAUUGGAGGUGGUCAAGAUGCAAUGAACGUUACUAUGACAGAUCGCCGUGCCGGUAAAUUUGAGGCCAAAUUUUUCCACAAGAUUUUACAAGAAGAGAUUGGUGGUGUUAAAGGACAUUUUGGACCAAUCAAUGCAUUGGCAUUUAAUCCUGAUGGAAAGAGCUUUUCGAGUGGUGGGGAGGAUGGAUACGUGAGGCUACACCAUUUUGAUCCUGAGUAUUUCAACAUCAAGAUGUAA
Molecule: ribosomal RNA, 978 nt
Filed under: Triticum aestivum (bread wheat)
Lineage: Eukaryota; Viridiplantae; Streptophyta; Magnoliopsida; Poales; Poaceae
Description: partial small subunit ribosomal RNA
Source: RNAcentral